UCGGUUACGAUUAUCAUGCUAUACAAAUAUUGUUCAUUAUUAACUACAAAUUAAAUCUUAUUAUAACGUUUGACCCAUUUAUUUGCUGUCUUGAAUGUGUCAGUCUCUCAGUGACUACAUGUGAUUACGUCUUAUUUGAAGCUCACUUUUGGUGUCACACAACAGAGUCCCCCUAAAUGAGAAGCUCAUCCUCCCGAGCUCCUGUCAUCCAAUGGGAAUGGAGGAGUGGUGGUGCGGGGAUUGGACCAGGUGGGAGCUUCAAAGUUCUUCUCGUAAUCCAGGGAAAAGCUGAAGAGUUGCCCCCGAGACGUGAAGAACAUCUCUCCAGACACGGUCAGAUCUUCAUGCAAAAUAAAAACCUCAAUGUCACCGCUGGGCCUUAUAUUUUUUAUCACUCACACACACAAAAUAAAUCCCUUUGUAAUAUUUUGUCUCUGUCAUUGUUUAACAUAUAAACUCCUUAUUGUGCUUCAUUGAAUUGAACUCAACGUUUUUCUUUCACACCACCGUCGGUCUUCAAUCUCCGUCAAUGUCGAUCUCUCCUGUUGUUUAAGAGCUCUGGCCAAAGUUUUCUCCCGCUAAACAAU
RNAcentral lists this long non-coding RNA (587 nucleotides) under Danio rerio (zebrafish). RNAcentral describes it as "lncRNA (ENSDARG00000117443.1)". The record is from RNAcentral. Lineage: Eukaryota; Metazoa; Chordata; Actinopteri; Cypriniformes; Danionidae.